This 232-nucleotide ribosomal RNA is filed under the name uncultured bacterium. RNAcentral's name for it is "partial 16S ribosomal RNA". It matches the Rfam family "Bacterial small subunit ribosomal RNA", at positions 118 to 351 of the family's 1533-position model. The record is from RNAcentral.
UGGGCAAUCUGCCCUUCACUCUGGGACAAGCCCUGGAAACGGGGUCUAAUACCGGAUAACACUCUGUCCUGCAUGGGACGGGGUUAAAAGCUCCGGCGGUGAAGGAUGAGCCCGCGGCCUAUCAGCUUGUUGGUGGGGUAAUGGCCUACCAAGGCGACGACGGGUAGCCGGCCUGAGAGGGCGACCGGCCACACUGGGACUGAGACACGGCCCAGACUCCUACGGGAGGCAG